Molecule: non-coding RNA, 358 nt
Filed under: Heterocephalus glaber (naked mole-rat)
Lineage: Eukaryota; Metazoa; Chordata; Mammalia; Rodentia; Bathyergidae
Description: Eukaryotic small subunit ribosomal RNA
Rfam family: Eukaryotic small subunit ribosomal RNA
Source: Rfam by way of RNAcentral
UUAAUUUGACUAAACAAGGGAAACCUCACCCGGCUCAGUCAUGGACAGGAUUGACAGACUGAUAGCUCUUUCUUGAUUCUGUGGGUGGUGGUGCAUGACUGUUCUUAGUUGGUGGGGUGAUUUGUCUGGUUAAUUCUGAUAAUGAACAAGACUCUGGCAUGCUAACUACCAAGUUAUGUGACCUCUGACUUCAAUCAACCUUAUAUUGUUCUUUUUUGCAUCGUCUUGCAGCUGUUUAAUUGAUUUUUCAUGGUUCUUUAACUAUUUUUAAGAAAUCUUUCUUUUCAUGGUUAUUAACUGCAAUCCUGUCUUCUAGAUCUGAUAUUCUGUCCUCAUCUUUGUUCAAAGAGUUGUGUAU